This 509-nucleotide ribosomal RNA is filed under the name uncultured bacterium. Its description in RNAcentral is "bacterial SSU rRNA". It matches the Rfam family "Bacterial small subunit ribosomal RNA", at positions 28 to 529 of the family's 1533-position model. The record is from RNAcentral.
GACGAACGCUGGCGGCGUGGAUUAGGCAUGCAAGUCGAACGGUAUCAUCCUUUCGGGGGUGAGAGAGUGGCGAACUGGUGAGUAACACGUAGGUUAUCUACCCUCAAGACGGGGACAACCCAGGGAAACCUGGGCUAAUACCGGAUGUGAGCAACUUUUAGUUGUUUGAAAGGUGGCGUAAGCUGUCGCUUGGGGAUGAGCCUGCGUCCUAUUAGUUAGUUGGUGAGGUAACGGCUCACCUAGGCAAUGAUAGGUAGGCGGCCUUAACGGGUGGUCGCCCACACUGGGAUUGAGAUACGGCCCAGACUCCUACGGGAGGCAGCAGUCGAGAAUAGUCUACAAUGGUCGGAAGACUGAUAGUGCGACGCCGCGUGAACGAUGAAUCCCUUCGGGGUGUAAAGUUCUUUUAUAUGUGAGCAGUGCUUCUUAUAUUAACAGUAUGGGGAGAGAGAUAUUAGCAUAUGAAUAAGCAACGGCUAACUCCGUGCCAGCAGCCGCGGUAAACUUGU